Molecule: long non-coding RNA, 357 nt
Organism: Hypanus sabinus (Atlantic stingray)
Lineage: Eukaryota; Metazoa; Chordata; Chondrichthyes; Myliobatiformes; Dasyatidae
Exons: 3
Source: RefSeq, a predicted model, not a curated record
GUUCACAGUCUCCGGGUGGACGGUGUUAUCCUCUCCGCUCAGAGCUGAAGUUGGUCGGCCGUGUGAUCGGGAAAGAUUUUCGUCUCUUCCGUCGGGAUCACUGUCUGGGGUCCGAAGAUAUCACUUUCCCAUCGUUAGUCCUGCAGUGAGAGAUUUAUUGGAAGAAAACCCAGGACUGAAGACGAGGGAACAGCAACAAGUGAACCAGCCCGAGGACUGAGAGCAUCAACUGGAGAGAACCCAUCUGACUCGGAGAUUCCGGUGAUUCAGUCAGGAGAAAGUUUGGUGAAUGUCGAGAGAAGGCAACUACAUUGAAUUCCACAAAUUCCACGGUGGUAAAACAGGAUAACAGUCACG